This 242-nucleotide ribosomal RNA is filed under the name uncultured bacterium. RNAcentral describes it as "partial 16S ribosomal RNA". It matches the Rfam family "Bacterial small subunit ribosomal RNA", at positions 62 to 334 of the family's 1533-position model. The record is from RNAcentral.
UCGAACGCCCCGUAAGGGGAGUGGCAGACGGGUGAGUAACGCGUGGGAAUCUACCCAACUCUACGGAAUAACUCAGGGAAACUUGUGCUAAUACCGUAUACGCCCUUCGGGGGAAAGAUUUAUCGGAGUUGGAUGAGCCCGCGUUGGAUUAGCUAGUUGGUGGGGUAAAGGCCUACCAAGGCGACGAUCCAUAGCUGGUCUGAGAGGAUGAUCAGCCACAUUGGGACUGAGACACGGCCCAA